Long non-coding RNA from Armigeres subalbatus, 622 nucleotides. RefSeq lists it as uncharacterized. The record is from RefSeq and is a predicted model, not a curated record. The transcript is spliced from 3 exons. Lineage: Eukaryota; Metazoa; Arthropoda; Insecta; Diptera; Culicidae.
GCUAGAUAAAGUGACGUUUUAGUCAACUAAAAUAACUCUAUUUCCUAACUAGAACAUUUCCCUCAUGAAGCAAGUCCUAUUAUUACCUACUAUCAAAUCAUGAGCCAAAACAACAAAUUCGAGAUAGGACUAAUGUUCUAAAAAAAUCACCUUGAAAUUGAUCUCACUUUGAAGUCACACAUUUUACGGAUAUUUGUUUCCUAAAAAUAUUUGGACAUUUUGAAACGAUCGGCUUAAUUUUAAUGUCAACAAUCAUAGAACUAUUUUUGAAAUUGUAUAGUUUUCACAGUUUUCAAAAAUGCACAAAAAGAGUGCUCCGGUGAUUACUUAUACAAUAUUUGUUAUUCAUAAAGGACCUACAAGCCAUAAUACUCUGAGGAAAGAGGUAGCUUCUACUUUCAGUUGAAUCAAACUGACCAAAUGUUGCUGGAGACCUGGAGAAGCGUCUAAUUGGACGGAUAGAUACUGUUUUCAACAUAACCUGAUUGGUACAUUAAAAAACAGAUCGGCAAUUGGCUCCCCUCUACUACGAAACACAGGCUGUAAGAAGAAGUUUAAAAGUUCUUGGAAGUUAAAAAUAAUAUAUUGUGAGCUGUAUUUUUUUUAAUUUUCUUUAAAUAUU